AAUGAACGUUGGCGGCGUGGAUUAGGCAUGCGAGUCGAGCGAGAACCGUAGCAAUACGGGGGCAGCGGCGAAAGGGACAGUAACGGGUAGAUUAUCUGCCCUCAGGUUUGGGAUAGCUGCGGGAAACUGCAAGUAAUACCAAAUAAUAUCUCCGGAUCAAAGGUGUGGUUCCGCCUGAGGAUGAGUCUGCCUCCUAUUAGCUUGUUGGUGGGGUAACGGCCUACCAAGGCAUUGAUGGGUAGCGGGUGUGAGAGCACGACCCGCGUCAUUGGGACUGAGACACUGCCCAGACACCUACGGGUGGCUGCAGUCGAGAAUCUUCGGCAAUGGACGCAAGUCUGACCGAGCGACGCCGCGUGUGGGAUGAAGGCCUUCGGGUUGUAAACCACUGUCAGAGGGGAUGAAAUGCAGGUGGGUACUCCCAUUUGUUUGACAUAGCCUCAGAGGAAGUACGGGCUAAGUUCGUGCCAGCCGCCGCGGUAA
This 483-nucleotide ribosomal RNA is filed under the name uncultured bacterium. RNAcentral describes it as "partial 16S ribosomal RNA". It matches the Rfam family "Bacterial small subunit ribosomal RNA", at positions 29 to 523 of the family's 1533-position model. The record is from RNAcentral.